AAUCAACGCUGGCGGCGUGCCUCAGACAUGCAAGUCGAACGAUUAAAGCUCUCUUCGGAGAGUGCAUAGAGUGGCGCACGGGUGAGUAACACGUAAGUAAUCUACCUUCGAGUGGGGAAUAACGUCCGGAAACGGACGCUAAUACCGCAUAAUGCAGCGGCAUCGCAAGAUGACAGUUGUUAAAGAAUUUAUUCGCUUGAAGAGGAGCUUGCGGCAGAUUAGCUUGUUGGUAAGGUAACGGCUUACCAAGGCUACGAUCUGUAACCGGUCUAAGAGGACGGUCGGUCACACUGACACUGAAUAACGGGUCAGACUCCUACGGGAGGCAGCAGUCGGGAAUUUUGGGCAAUGGGGGAAACCCUGACCCAGCAACGCCGCGUGAAGGAUGAAGUAUUUCGGUAUGUAAACUUCGAAAGAAUAGGAAGAAU
RNAcentral lists this ribosomal RNA (428 nucleotides) under uncultured bacterium. RNAcentral describes it as "bacterial SSU rRNA". It matches the Rfam family "Bacterial small subunit ribosomal RNA", at positions 32 to 450 of the family's 1533-position model. The record is from RNAcentral.